AGUCUUAUAGUCAAAUUAUGAUAUAAAAUUGCAAAUUUUAAGGUGAAAAUUUCUAAGGCUU
This 61-nucleotide transfer RNA is filed under the name Pieris brassicae (large cabbage white). Its description in RNAcentral is "tRNA-Cys". Lineage: Eukaryota; Metazoa; Arthropoda; Insecta; Lepidoptera; Pieridae. The record is from RNAcentral.